UGUAAUGCUAUCUUGAUGGGUUGCUGUGAAAAUGUGAAGAUGUCUGUCAGGCAGGAAAAAUUAUGUAAAAAUGAUGUGGGUAUAGAAAAUGGGAUCGACAAAAUGUAAUAAACUCCUCCUGGGCUGAAGAGCAGAGCUGCAUAUGUAAUGAAGUACUUUAGGAUUACGUCACCUUUUAUAUAACAUCUGGCAGUGACUUUUAUUUCAGAGCUAAUUUGAAGAAGCCAGGCGCUUUUCUCUUCCCCUCCCCAAGACUGCCUUUAUCUGAAAGAAGAAAGAAGGAACUGUUACAUUUUGCAUGCAAAGAAAGCCAGAGUGGCUAGAUUACUCCCUUAGGGUAAUGGAGAAAGGAAAAAGAAAUUGAAAAAGGUCAGGUGAACAAAGCAGAAGGAAUGAAGAGGUUUGUGUGAUUCUUAGUGAAAUUGGACCAGUCUAAGCAACCAGACAGUGCUGCUGAUGGAGGAUGCUGUCAAUCCAGAGUCUGACAACCUCUCGCUCCUAUAUUUGGAAACUUCUGCAGUUUCAAUCAAAGAAAUGGUGCUGGCAUUCAAAAGGAAGAUGGAGAAUUCACUGGAGAACUACAAUGGCUUCACAACGAAUGUAAAAGACAAGUCUCAGGAAAAGAUGUAAUUCUAUGGAAGAAAAAAGAUAGAAACUAACAUUACCCAAAUGAAAACAGAUGAUGAUAAAGAUCAUUUCUUGAACAAUAUCUUCACAUCAUGGCUGGGCAAAGUGGAAAGAGACGGAAAACUGGUAAUUAUUGCCAACAGACUUAAAAUACAUAUUUAGGCAGUAAACUUUUAAUCAUUUUAUUUCUUUAUUUUUAAUUUUGCAAGUAUCUCAUGAAUACAUUUUUUAAAAAUAACAAUUGAAAUGAUGCAGUCAAAGAAAAAGUUCCUCCUUUGGCCCCACCAAAUCCCACUUUCCUGUCCAAAGAGUUAAUCAAAAAACAUACUGGAAAUAACAAAUCUGGAAGGUCAUAAUUUUCUCCAUAAGAAAAAUAUAUGCUAGCUAUGCCUUGCUACUCUUAUUAUGCUCACUUUUGAUUAUCAGGCAACUUUGAAUAUAAAAUUUCUAGUAUUGCUAUUUCUCUUUUGAAUUUUGUGAUGCUAAAAUGUUCUUGAAAUUAAAAUGUUCCACCCCUUCCCACUCUUCAAAUCCCCAUCUGUUCUCUUGUGAGCACAAGACCCACACAGCUGGUCUCAGACAUGGUCACAUCCACAUUGAUACAAGAAUAUGUUCGAGUAAGCAAUCUGUGGUUUGGUGAUUUAAUUAAUUCUACAAGACACCUAAAAAGUGCCAGGUGGAAGGACACAGAUAAAUAAGACAGGAUCCUGGCCUUUAAGGAAAUCUUGGCAUAACACUAAGGAAAACUCAAUAUUUUCAUCCAGCAGAAGCUGGAACUGAAGUGACUAGGCUUUGGAGUCAUGCAGAUCUGGGUUUGAAUCCAGCCCUGCCAUCUAUCAUUUCCAUGAUCUUCAGAAGAUGAUGAUAAUGACACUUCAUAAGAUUUUGUCAUGCGUUGCCUUUUCACACUGCUCCAUGCCACCUCACACUUUAUGGCAACAGAUUCUAUCCCUGUGGCCACAGAAGUGGGCCCAAGAUAGGUCAGUUAGUGUUUAUUACCUCUGGUCACAGUGAUUGGUUCAGAGAGGGACACAGAAUCUAAUCUGGGCCAAUCAGAUUCCUUCUCUGAGAUUUUAUCUUUUUCUAUCUGGAGCUAGAAGGGAAGAACGUUUUUUCUUUUGGAUGAUGAGGCUUUAAGCAAGUAAUUUCAAGGGUGCCUGCAGCCAUUGUUUCAGUGUCAUGGGAAUAGAGAGUAAAGCAGUUGAAAAAUAUUUUAUUAUGCAUUAUUUGAAAUAAUAAAAUCAACAUAUAUGUACAUGUCUAUGUAUAAACACAAUAACCCCAUUCCUUGACCAUUCUUUAGAGGUGAUUACUAUCCUGAAUUUUGUGUUUAUCAUUUCUUAUCACAAGUAUAGAUAUACCUCAACAAUUUAUUUUUGAGCAGUUUUAUUAACUUUAUAAAUAAUAUACUCUAUGUUGUCUUCUUCAUUCCACUACAUGGACAAAAAAAUUAAGAAUUCUGACUAUCUCAAGUUGUUGGUGAAGUCUGAAGUAAUGGGAACUCAUAUCUCCUAUAGAAAUGUAAAUUAAGAGAACAACUCUGGAUAAAUAAUCUGGCAUUAUCUUGCCAAGCUGAAUAUGAAUGUAGCCUAAGAUUUUGCAAUUCCAUGUCUAGGUAUAUGUGCUGGAAAAACAUUUGCUCACGUGCUGUGCAGACGUUUACAAUGACUUGCAGAGUCUCUCUUGAUGAGGAAGGAAAAAAAAAGAAAGUAAGCCAAGUGUUAUUGAUGGGAGGAUAGGUGACUACGUUGUGCAUUCACACGGCAGAGUAGUAUGCAGGAGUGGAUAUGGAGGAGCCACAGGUACAUUCAACAGUGGGAACAGAUUUUAGAGGCAAUAUUGAGGAAGAAUAAACUAUUUUCAGGAACAGUUGGACUCUGUGGAGACUUUUGUAUGCUGUCCUCUUGGACUUUAGAUCAAUAACUGGCCCUGACAGCAGCCUACUUUUAGGCCACUGUACAAGCAGGGAGCAGAAGCUGAGCUGGGCAGUAGUAGUCACUGUUCCAGACCCACCAUAUUAGUCACCCUAGGGAAGGGAGAGCAGUGCAGAGUAAAAAUAUUCAUCUUGGUGAUGAGGUUGAGAGCUACACUUUGCCUGAACAUCUGGACUCCUGAACUGAGUUGGCUCAGAGGGCUAGGGAGUAGACAGUGAGGAAUUUUUCUUUUGCUUCAGGACUGGAAACCUAUGACCAGCUCUUUGCAGUUCUUAUCUGUGUAGUGUAUAUGGUCUGACCCAAAAGACUUUUAAUGACUGAUUUACUGUCAUUGAUACCAUCUUUGAGAUGAGUUAAAGUAGUUUCUGAGAGCUUCUGGUAGGAGCCCUCCCUGCUGGGUCCAUUUGGGGGUCUAUGUGGUAGCAAGCUGGUCAUUUUGGGCUUCUCAUUGGAAAGUGGUUUAAACAACCUCUCCUUUUGUGAUGUUAGGUAAAGCACAAAGGCAAGUUUAGAAUUUAUUUUCAACAUUUAACAUUUCAUCAAGUAUCACAUUGUGGAAGGGGAUGAAGAGAAGUUGGUUAAGGAGUACAAAAAUACAGUUAAAUGGAAAGAAUAAGUUCUAGUAUUUGAGAAGAAUUGUCAUGCUCUCAGCACAAAGCAAAAAUGCUUGUGAUGAUGGAUAUCCCAGUUACACUGACUUGAUCAUUAUACUUGUAUCAAAAUGUGACAUGUACCCCCAAAUAUGUACAACUAUUGUAUAUCAAUAAAAAAAGAAAAAAACACAGUUAGUUGAUCAAGACAAAACAGCUAGAGAUUAAAAGAAAUUGGAGAAUGAUGGGUUAUCUGCAUGUUUGAUAGGGAGAAAAAUUGGGGAGACCUAUAAAAUAUAAUUAAAUGGGAAAUGUAAAAAAAAUCAUAUUGUUUUACAUUUUAACAUCUCUAAAAAUAAAGAUAUAUCUUACAAUU
Non-coding RNA from Chlorocebus sabaeus (green monkey), 3527 nucleotides. The record is from RefSeq and is a predicted model, not a curated record. NCBI's taxonomy places the organism in Eukaryota, Metazoa, Chordata, Mammalia, Primates, Cercopithecidae.